AAAGUCGGACACCCAACCGACUGAGCCACCCAGGCGCCCCAAGAGUUUAUUUUUUUAAGUAAUCUCUACACCUAACAUGGGGCUUGAAGUCACAACCCCAAGAUUAAGAGUCAGCAUUCUCUACAGACUAAACCAGCCAGAAACCCCUCCUUUAAAAAAAAAAAAAAGAUUUUAUUUUUUUAAAUGGAUAAUACUCAUUUAAUUAACAGAAAUGUGAUUUGUCCACAGACAAACAGCAAGUAGCAGUGCUGCAGCUGGGGCCCUGAUGAAGUUUGGGGAGAUCUAUGAAUAUCCUGAUUCACAGCCUGUGGUACUUUCCUAGAGUCUUCAGGCACCUGCCCUGCACUGCACCGAGCAUCUCCAGCAUCCUCAACCACGUUAUCACAGUUAAUCACACUGGGGACAGGCCAGCCAAAGCAGCAAGAAGGGAAGAAGGAAAAAGUUUUUUUACCCGUGUAGUUUCGGUGCCUAAUGUGGAGCUCUCCACUGGCUGCAGCCGCUGAGAGGUCCCGGGACCUGUGACAGGAGCCAGCAGAAGGUAAGAAUUCUUACCAUGCCAGUCUUCCAGUUCUUUGCCUGCAGAGUCUGGUAAGUGACCACUCUAGAGUGGUGAGAGUUCUUUCCUUUUUCUAAAUUUAGAUUAGCAGGAGAGAAAAUUUGUGUGAACUAGUUCCUCGGGUAUAGCAACUCUGGUAAAAGUUUGUUAUGAGCACUCUUGUUUUUUAUUGAUGCUUUUUCUCCCAGAGAUGGUCAUUGUUUUCUUUUGUCUCUUUCAUGUCAUUUGUCACAACAAAGAAAACCACAGAGCAGAACACAGGCAUGAGUCCUAUAAGCCUGUUAUUUGAGCCAGCAUCACAGACUGGUGAGUUCACAGCUCUCACCAGACCAGCAUCUGUUUAGACAAGCUUUGCUGGGGGUCACCAGAUAAAGUUUUUCUUUCAUCUUGUUCUAUGUCCUCAGAGCUUGGCUUUGUAACUAGUGAGACUAUUCUGUUUGGUCACUGCCAGCCAGAAGAUACACAUACUAGCUUGCAUUUGGUGGCCAGUUGAAUAUUAGGGUUCUGAGGCACUCAGUUACAAGCAGUACUUUCUCUGUCUGGCCAUGCCAGUUCUUAGGGGAGUUUGUCAUAAGAGCUUCCAGCCCAUAAGGGGCCUUUAUUGUCUGAACCUUUGCUGUCUUGUUAGUGCUGGAAAAGUCUCAUUUUAGUAGCGCUUGUGUAAGUCUGUAGCUGGAGUCAUCUCAUGUUCUCAUGGGAAACUGGAGACACCAUUUUCAUUGCACCAUUCUUACUGCUUGUGACCCCGAGUCUUUGCUUUUUUAGGCUAACUCUGGGGGUGAACUUUCUGGGUCUGAUGAGUGCUGCAUCUUUUGUACUCUCUUUUGGGACGCCUCUUAUGUCUUGUGUGCCAUAAAAUUGUUAUUGAUUUGAGUGACUAUUGAGAUGGGUAUAAGAGCUUACUUGUCAGUGAUGGGUCCUUGGAAUUGGAAAACUUCUGUAUUUGAAAAAAGUUUUAGAGAGCUCUCGUUCUGAAAAAUUGUCCUAUUCGUACCUAUGGAAAUAUCAAAUUAAAAAGUGGAUACAAAGAAGUAUAAUGGUUAGCCUUAGGGACUUCCUUAACAAGAUGGAAGAACAGAAAUUAGACUUAGGAAAAAGUUAAAAUACACAUUCAACAUAAACACCCCUUCUUAAAAUCUAGCUCUAUUUCUUCAGCAAAUUCCCUUAGCUCGCCAAACUCCUCCACCUUCCCCACAAAAUCCCUUUAACACCUGGCUACCUGUUUUAACUUCUCUUCCCCUACAAGAUUUAUAGAGAACACUCCAGCCUAAUCUUUAGGUCCAGGGCAUACAGGUCUCUCAUGUAAAUGCUGAAAGCCAGGAAGUAUAUUUAGCAAAAGCAGCAGGAAGUAAAUUUAGCAGACUUCUUUUGCUGUCCUUUCAAACUGCCCCUGCUUUCCAGGUCUCUAUGAUCAGGCUCUGCCAGGCUCAGGCCUUCCUAUGCAAUAUCCUUUGCAGAUGUAUUUUGGAAUCCUCCAGCCCCACCUGAAGAAUUCAUGUCCUCUGGACAGCAACUGAUCUUUUAAACUAUAAAGCCCUUUUACCUCCACUUUCAGAAGAUACUACCCAAUUUUGAUAGAAAUUAGAUUAGUAGCCAUUUACAACCUCACUCACAAGAGCCUUGAUUAGCUGCAAAGGUGUUCUUUUCACCCUUGAUUGUACUGUAGUUAACAGACAAGUCAGAUGGACCCUGGAGAAAACCCCUCUCAAAGAGGAAACACAUGACCAGAAUUUCUCUCAAGCCCUCCUAGGAAUGAUCAGGAAAUGGAGCAGCUGAAGGCUACUGUUCAGGGGCUGAUAGAAGCAGUAGUUGAACUUUUCCCACUAAGGGGAACUGGUCUAAGUUUGAAUUGUAUGUUGAGAAAGAAGGAGAGCAUCCAAAGGCCUUUGUUGAGCACUUUAUACAGAUUUUUCAAAGGCAUACUGCACUAAAUUCUGAAGCUCUAGAGCAUAGAGAUCUUUUAGUUUCUGCCUUGGUAGGAAAAUUCCUCCCUGAUAUCAAAAAGGCAAACUCAAAACAAUGUGAUUGGGUGGGCUAGUCAACCUCUAAGCAUUAUAAUGGGAGAAGCUAUCCAAUUCUUUGAAGAUAGCCAUCAGGAAAGGAGAAAAAAAAGGAGUUGAAAUGAACAAUUCUUGAUUUGCAAUUUGGAUAUUUAGAGAAAAAAAAAAAAAAACACAACUCUGAGAACAACAAAGUCCACAGAGAGCCUUUCCUAUUUGCCUCCAGACAUUUUCAAAUGUAAAAAAUCAGGUCACUGGAAAUGCAAUUGUCCUGCACUUUAAAAAAAGAAAUUUAGAGUCACCUGGGUGGCAAAUAUUGGGGUAUCCUUGUCUAUUAUCUGAAAUUUAAGGUAAAUACUAUUUAAGUAGGCUUCAUGCCAAGCACAGAGUCCAACAGAGGGUUUGAACUCACAACCCUGA
This is a long non-coding RNA of Felis catus (domestic cat), 2976 nucleotides long. RefSeq lists it as uncharacterized. The record is from RefSeq and is a predicted model, not a curated record. NCBI's taxonomy places the organism in Eukaryota, Metazoa, Chordata, Mammalia, Carnivora, Felidae. The transcript is spliced from 3 exons.